This 440-nucleotide ribosomal RNA is filed under the name uncultured bacterium. RNAcentral describes it as "partial 16S ribosomal RNA". It matches the Rfam family "Bacterial small subunit ribosomal RNA", at positions 338 to 795 of the family's 1533-position model. The record is from RNAcentral.
ACUACGGGAGGCAGCAGUAGGGAAUAUUGCUCAAUGGGGGAAACCCUGAAGCAGCAACGCCGCGUGGAGGAUGAAGGUUUUAGGAUUGUAAACUCCUUUUUUGAGAGAAGUUAAUGACGGUAUCUCACGAAUAAGCACCGGCUAACUCCGUCCCAGCAGCCGCGGUAAUACGGUGGGUGCAAGCGUUACUCGGAAUCACUGGGCGUAAAGAGUGCGCAGGCUGGAUUGUAAGUCAGAUGUGAAAUCCUGUAGCUUAACUACAGAACUGCAUUUGAAACUAUGAGUCUAGAGUGUGGGAGAGGUAGGUGGAAUGCUUGGUGUAGGGGUAAAAUGCGUAGAUAUCAAGAGGAAUACUCAUUGCGAAGGCGACCUACUGGAACAUUACUGACGCUCAUGCACGAAAGCGUGGGGAGCAAACAGGAUUAGAUACCCUGGUAGUC